AUGCAUGUAGCGUCUGUUUACACUAAAUAUCUGUAGUAUUGGAUGGUGUGUUUAUUAAUUGAUUUGUUUACUAAUGUGAUACCGUAGUCUGAGUGACUUUCAUACUUUAUUUCUCUUCUAAGGACAGUCUGAUUUCUAGUAAUUGGUUUAAUUAUAUGAUUCAUAAAAUAUGAGUGCAGGUAGCUUGGUACAGAAGAUUUGUUCUUGUCUAGAAAUAUUAGUGGAAGUAAAGACAACAGAGUCAUCUGAACCAGUCAGAAAUCUCUCAAAGAAAGAAAUAUUGUUUCAUCAGUUGAAGAAAAAUGUGCAUUCAGCUUUUCAAAAAUUAGAAAUUUAUGAUGAUUUAAAAACUGCUGUAAAGGAGUAUAUUCAACCUUGCCAAAAAAAUAAAUGCAAAACUUGUGAUCACUUGGAUUUUCUAGCUUUGUGUCUGGUGUUAAUUAAAUUGCUUAAUGAGGCCCUUAUUGCUGAAGAAACUGGGGAUGUUGGUGUGAACAAAAGUAAACAAAAGUACUCAGUGCCUAAAGUUUUACUGAGUAUAUCACAGCUGAAAGUACUUAAAAAGUGUUUGCAGUUUGUUGUAGCACUGGGAAUUUUGCCAAACUUGUUACGAGGUGUAGGUAUACCAUUGAUAAAAAAAUCAGAAUAUGGGAGUUUAGUAGAGCAUCUAUCAUCUGAUUGCACCCCUCAUCAAAAACAUGUGCAAAUUGUCAUCUGCGUGGAAACUCUACUGAAUUGUCUUGAUUGUGAUGCUAUACACAGUAUCAUUCUUACUUCUUAUGGGUGUGAUUUACUAUCUGCUUUGUUUCAACUGUGCCAUGCUCCUUUAAAAAAGAUAGAUGAUAAUGAGUAUGAAGCUAAAAAGGUCGAAUUAAAGAGAGAUUUUGUUACAAUGAUUGGGUUGAUAAAAGAUAAUUCAUCCUAUGAUGAUAUGCAAGUCAUUAUUGAAAGGAUACAUGAUCGUAAUCAUUUUACUCCUAGAUUAGAAAAGUUGACGAAACUGUUUUGUCGAUCUUCUCUGAUGUGGGAAUUAUUUCUUCAGCUUGGAUUUCCAGUAAAGGAUGAUAGAGUGUCGUCUGUCCCAAAAGUUCCAAUAUGGCUAAACAAACUGUGCAACCAAAUGUUUACCGAUUUGCUUCUUCAAAAGAAUGGUGUCGCAACAUUUGUACUAGCUUUUCUCACUGAAGUCCAUGUUAGAAAGUUCCGCUUUCCCAGCGAGCAGAAAUUUUCUCCCCAGCGAGCAGAAAUAAAUGUCGGCCAAGAAAAGGUACGAGAGCAACUCCGACAGGUGAAAGGAGAGCUUACAGAAGAAACUGGAGCCAUAAAAGACGAUGUGGAAAUGAGAGAAGUGGCAUCUGAAGAAUCAAAGGAUGAAAAAAUGAAGGAAGUAGCUAAUGAACUGCCUGAGAAAGAUCAAGAAAUGAUGGAUGAAACAUCUAACGAGAUUAAAGAAAGAGAACGAAAAGAUGAAGAAAAAGACAGGAAUGACGCUUCUCAUCCUCAGGCGUCCGAAGUUGAACUGGAAGACAGUGAUAAUAUUGCUCGUAAAGAUGAAGAAAUAAACGAAGUGGCUUGUAAAGCUUCUGAAAGAGAUUUUGAUAUUCAGAAUGCAACUGUAGAUCAUGCACACGUAGAGACUGUGGCUCGCAUAAUAGCAACAAAGCCUUCUUAUAAUUUGUUGUUAGAAGAUUACGUUAAGAGGUUGUCAAAACAGGUAUUUGAAUUGCUUCAUUCAAAAGGAUCUCAGUUGGAUGCCUUAUAUCAUUCUAUUGCAUCCUGCCUUAUUUUACAGUUUUGUGAAACAAGAAUGAAAUUAGCUCAGAAAUAUUUCUUUGACAGUAUUUUUAAACCUCUUCAAUUAUGUGUCAGUUCUCCAGGUACAGAUGGUGUUAUUGUGAAAGAGAAUGAAUUUACAGUGUGCAUUGAAGAUUUGUAUCAGAUUUUUGUUUCCUGCAAUUCUCCUGUCAGUCGAAAGCAUUCACGUUUGCUGUAUCCUUAUUUCCACUGUUUAUGCCGCUUGUAUUUCUUCUUAUUAGAAGGGAUAUCAUUUCUGAGGUCAAAAGUUAAAGGUUUGUUGGCACAUAUCUUAAGUUCUGCAUCUCAUGAAGAUGCCGUUCCUUUAUUGCAUGCAGCAACAUUUUCAAGCAAUAAAUACUUUCCUGUGCAUUUGACAAAAGUCCGUUUCAUGUAUGGUGAUGAAGGAGGUGUUGCAGCUGUCCCACCUGGCAUUGACGACUUAAGUGAAGCAUUUUCUCAUUGUCAUGGCACUUUAGAAUUGUUGAAAGAACUGCAGAAUAAAAGUUUAAACAGUUCAUACUUCUUAUUUAUUUUGCAAGAAUUUUGUAAUUUAAUCUCGAAAAUGAAAGAAGGUGCAAAAGAUGAAAAUUUUGGAAAGGAACGAUUACUGUGUGUCAUUCUGCUGAAACAGUUUUCUGAAUGGAACGAAGAAAUAAAUGAAGCUAUUUUAUCAAAUACAUCUGGAGCCAUUGACUUAGUUGUUGCUCUUUUGGAUGACGCUUGUGAUGAAACCUCUUUCCCCAAAGAGAGUAUUGUGAUAGCUCUGAUAAUUUUAAAUGCAGUGAUUGAAAACAUAAAUCAGCUGACUUCAGCACAUUGGGCUCUUCUUAAAAGAUGCCUGCCAAACUUACAGAAAUUGCAAAAGAGUAAUAUAGAUAUUUGCUUGAAACAGAUGGUGUCCAGUAUUUUAACAUUCAUUGCUACACAUGGUGCUGCAUGUGAAAAUGAUGCCUGUGCUGAUGUGAUGAAAGAAUUCAUUGCGAAUAUGUCUGAACUUUCAAACCAAAGAGCUAAGAAUCUUAAAGGAAGUCAAGCUCGAAAAGGGAUUAAUAAGAAAAGCAACAAAACAUGCUCUUCUAGAAAGCACACUUCUGAUUCAUCAAAUAUUUCUGAAGGGGCUGGAUGUUCCAGGCGGUCUAGUGACAACGUUAAACCUGAACCCCAAAAGAAAAGUGUUAAAGAUGUUGAUAAUAUAGUUUCAGGUAUAUCAAAUAUGGAUUUAGGUUCCUCAGUGAGCAAAAAGGAAUCUACUUUUCAAGCAGCUAUGAAUGAUUUGAAACAUUCAUUAGUCGCAGUUAGAGGACAUGCACUUAUUUCCCUGGGAAAGUUAUUGCAGCAACGAGAUGCUGAAACAUUACAUAACAAAGAAGAACUCUUGAAAAUGUUUCAGGAAAAUCUUGAGGAUGAAGACUCUUACAUUUAUUUACCAGCCAUCCAAGGUUUGUCAUUACUUGCUGAUUGUGAUGUAGAAUUGGUUCUUCCUACUUUAUUAAAGGAAUUUCAAAACCCUGGUAAAAAAGCAUGUGAGGUCAUAUUAAAAAUUGGAGAGGUUUUAUUGAAAAUUUGUCGUCUGUUAGAUACUUGUUUGUGUUCUGGCCUUACUGAAGACCGAUAAAGAUUUGGAAGUCCGAAGAUGUGCAGUGAUGGUCAUUACUCUCUUAUUUCGAGGAAUUGGAAAUGAUUUGCUUAAGGUGUUAGAAAAAGAAAUAAAAAGCCUCUAUAUACAAUUGAAAAUUGUGUACAGCACAGAAGCUGAUGAUGUUUUGCGUCUCCAUUCGCAGCUAGCAUUGGAAGAAAUAAAUGUGGUGAUGAAGGAACUCUUGUUAACA
RNAcentral lists this unclassified non-coding RNA (3626 nucleotides) under Stegodyphus dumicola. Its description in RNAcentral is "transport and Golgi organization protein 6 homolog, transcript variant X1". Lineage: Eukaryota; Metazoa; Arthropoda; Arachnida; Araneae; Eresidae. The record is from RNAcentral.